CACGUAGGGUGCGAGCGUUGUCCGGAAUUAUUGGGCGUAAAGGGCGCGUAGGCGGCUUGGCAAAUGGAUGGUGAAAUCCCUCGGCUUAACCGAGGAACUGCCGUCCAAACUGCUUUGCUUGAGGCCGGGAGAGGCGAGUGGAAUUCCCAGUGUAGCGGUGAAAUGCGUAGAUAUUGGGAGGAACACCAGUGGCGAAGGCGGCUCGCUGGACCGGUUCUGACGCUGAUGCGCGAAAGCGUGGGGAGCAAACGGG
RNAcentral lists this ribosomal RNA (253 nucleotides) under uncultured bacterium. Its description in RNAcentral is "partial 16S ribosomal RNA". It matches the Rfam family "Bacterial small subunit ribosomal RNA", at positions 524 to 776 of the family's 1533-position model. The record is from RNAcentral.